GCUUACGGCCAUACCACCCUGAACACGCCUGAUCUCGUCCGAUCUCGGAAGCUAAGCAGGGUCGGCCCUGGUUAGUACUUGGAUGGGAGACCGCCUGGGAAUACCAGGUGCUGUAAGCU
Molecule: ribosomal RNA, 119 nt
Filed under: Larimichthys crocea (large yellow croaker)
Lineage: Eukaryota; Metazoa; Chordata; Actinopteri; Sciaenidae
Source: RNAcentral